Molecule: transfer RNA, 72 nt
Filed under: Terriglobia bacterium
Lineage: Bacteria; Pseudomonadati; Acidobacteriota; Terriglobia
Description: tRNA-Asn
Rfam family: tRNA
About the family: Transfer RNA (tRNA) molecules are approximately 80 nucleotides in length. Their secondary structure includes four short double-helical elements and three loops (D, anti-codon, and T loops). Further hydrogen bonds mediate the characteristic L-shaped molecular structure. tRNAs have two regions of fundamental functional importance: the anti-codon, which is responsible for specific mRNA codon recognition, and the 3' end, to which the tRNAs corresponding amino acid is attached (by aminoacyl-tRNA synthetases). tRNAs cope with the degeneracy of the genetic code in two manners: having more than one tRNA (with a specific anti-codon) for a particular amino acid; and 'wobble' base-pairing, i.e. permitting non-standard base-pairing at the 3rd anti-codon position.
Source: RNAcentral
UCCGCAGCAACUCAAAAGAGCCUUCGGCUGUUAACCGAAGGGUUGUAGGUUCGAGUCCUACCUGAGGAGCCA